GUUAGUUUAGACCGCUAAAUGAAGUAAUUGUCAGUAUACCACAGACACAGUGUUUUCCUGAACAUUGUUGGAGAAGAUCCUCAUUCUUGUAAUCAGAUAGAAAAGUUAACAGCUGUCAUAAUUUCUAUUUGUGUCGUUUGAUUUCUUUUACAUGGCUUUAAUAGAGGUGGAGUAGACUGAAAAAUUAAUCACAAAUGUCUAUAAACACCAGAUAAGUCAGUUUGCUUUUCCUGUGUAUGAGAUAAAUCUACUUGUCUUGAUAAGUAGUUGCUGAGACUUACAUAGUGUUCUCAUUACACUGAUCCGUGCUGCUUGUUUCCAUCCUAUGUUUAGGAAAGUUACCUCGAAGUUUGUGCAUUUUACCUGUUUGUAACCAAAAGGUAUUUUUUAACUGUUCUCUAAGACAGCAAAGGAGGCUGUUUAGACUUCCAAGGUGCCACCACUGGUGCUUGUGUUGGUUCAGCUCACCCACUCAGGAGGAAAUGGUCUAUGUUUUUGCUUGAUGACUUACAAAAGGAUCCAGUAAAGACCAGAACUGGUAUAAGAGCCACUGCCUUUCCUACUGGCCCUUGAAAGAAGGCCCAGAAGUCAAAACACUGAUGAUUUACACCUGUACACAGAUUAGAUUAAAAUUCCUGCUGCUUUGCUCCGCAAAAUCUAUCUCCUCUUUCUCCCACAUAAGGACACUUGUAUUUGCUGUUUUUUGUAUUCUCAUAGCAACUGCAUUUUCAAAGGAAACUGCAUGUAAAAUCUGGAAAUAUGGCAACAAUUCUGAAUUCACACAUCACCACAGUCUUCCUGUUGUUGAUUUUUCCUA
Long non-coding RNA from Pezoporus flaviventris, 817 nucleotides. RefSeq lists it as uncharacterized. The transcript has 3 exons. The record is from RefSeq and is a predicted model, not a curated record. NCBI's taxonomy places the organism in Eukaryota, Metazoa, Chordata, Aves, Psittaciformes, Psittacidae.